Apteryx rowi (Okarito brown kiwi) is the source of this 596-nucleotide long non-coding RNA. The record is from Ensembl. Lineage: Eukaryota; Metazoa; Chordata; Aves; Apterygiformes; Apterygidae.
GAAAGAAGCAGAUAUUGCAGGCUGGGCUGUCCUUAUAACUACUUAGACUAAACAUUGACUCUUCUCUUUCAACUCCAGAGACUGAGGCUGUGAUUUUCCAUGAAGCUUCUGGGGAACAGAGCUGGAUGCUUAAGGUCCCAUCUUUCAAACUCACUGCAAACGGUCAACGGAAUUGCAGUGAAAUAUAGCAGGGACAGGCUACUGAGCAGUACUACCAAAGCUCCCACUGAAUUUAAAGGCAUGUCUGGUACAAACAGCAGUUGCUACUGGAUAUACGUGCGUCACUGGUGGUUUUCCUGCACAAUUUAUUGUAAGCAGAACACAUUUUACUGUCUGUGACGAAUAACAGAAAGUAACUGGCAGGAUGAAUCUGCUGUGGGUUCAGGUCCUUGCCUUGCUGCUGCCAAGGAAAGCAGAGGUAGAUGAAAAAGCUGCAAAGCUUUUCCCUCCAACUGCUCCAUGAUCUUCUACUGAGCUACAGACUGGAAGAGCAAACUGGAGAACACAGUCUCACAUCAAGGAGUAGCAAAACUCUGAAAGUUAGCUUUAGAUCUGUUAGUUUACAGCAAAUAAAAAUGUUUAUAUGCAUAAAAACA